UACAGAGGUCUCAAGCGUUGUUCGGAUUCAUUGGGCGUAAAGCGCACGUAGGCGGCGAUUCAAGUCAGAGGUGAAAGCCCGGGGCUCAACUCCAGAACUGCCUUUGAUACUGAGGAUCUUGAGUUCGGGAGAGGUGAGUGGAACUGCGAGUGUAGAGGUGAAAUUCGUAGAUAUUCGCAAGAACACCAGUGGCGAAGGCGGCUCACUGGCCCGAUACUGACGCUGAGGCGCGAAAGCGUGGGGAGCAAACAGG
RNAcentral lists this ribosomal RNA (253 nucleotides) under uncultured bacterium. RNAcentral's name for it is "partial 16S ribosomal RNA". It matches the Rfam family "Bacterial small subunit ribosomal RNA", at positions 524 to 776 of the family's 1533-position model. The record is from RNAcentral.